GACGAACGCUGGCGGCGUGCUUAACACAUGCAAGUCGUACGGUAAGGCCCUUUCGGGGGUACACGAGUGGCGAACGGGUGAGUAACACGUGAGUAACCUGCCCACAACUUUGGGAUAACGCUAGGAAACUGGUGCUAAUACUGGAUAUGUGCUCCUGCUGCAUGGUGGGGGUUGGAAAGCUCCGGCGGUUGUGGAUGGACACGCGGCCUAUCAGCUUGUUGGUGGGGUAGUGGCCUACCAAGGCGGCGACGGGUAGCCGGCCUGAGAGGGUGACCGGCCACAUUGGGACUGAGAUACGGCCCAGACUCCUACGGGAGGCAGCAGUGGGGAAUAUUGCACAAUGGGCGCAAGCCUGAUGCAGCAACGCCGCGUGCGGGAUGACGGCCUUCGGGUUGUAAACCGCUUUCAGCAGGGACGAAGCUUUUUGUGACGGUACCUGCAGAAGAAGCACCGGCUAACUACGUG
RNAcentral lists this ribosomal RNA (465 nucleotides) under uncultured bacterium. Its description in RNAcentral is "partial 16S ribosomal RNA". It matches the Rfam family "Bacterial small subunit ribosomal RNA", at positions 28 to 507 of the family's 1533-position model. The record is from RNAcentral.